This 765-nucleotide ribosomal RNA is filed under the name uncultured Streptococcus sp. RNAcentral describes it as "bacterial SSU rRNA". It matches the Rfam family "Bacterial small subunit ribosomal RNA", at positions 28 to 776 of the family's 1533-position model. Lineage: Bacteria; Bacillati; Bacillota; Bacilli; Lactobacillales; Streptococcaceae. The record is from RNAcentral.
GACGAACGCUGGCGGCGUGCCUAAUACAUGCAAGUAGAACGCUGAAGAGAGGAGCUUGCUCUUCUUGGAUGAGUUGCGAACGGGUGAGUAACGCGUAGGUAACCUGCCUUGUAGCGGGGGAUAACUAUUGGAAACGAUAGCUAAUACCGCAUAACAAUGGAUGACACAUGUCAUUUAUUUGAAAGGGGCAAUUGCUCCACUACAAGAUGGACCUGCGUUGUAUUAGCUAGUAGGUGAGGUAACGGCUCACCUAGGCGACGAUACAUAGCCGACCUGAGAGGGUGAUCGGCCACACUGGGACUGAGACACGGCCCAGACUCCUACGGGAGGCAGCAGUAGGGAAUCUUCGGCAAUGGGGGCAACCCUGACCGAGCAACGCCGCGUGAGUGAAGAAGGUUUUCGGAUCGUAAAGCUCUGUUGUAAGUCAAGAACGAGUGUGAGAGUGGAAGGUUCACACUGUGACGGUAGCUUACCAGAAAGGGACGGCUAACUACGUGCCAGCAGCCGCGGUAAUACGUAGGUCCCGAGCGUUGUCCGGAUUUAUUGGGCGUAAAGCGAGCGCAGGCGGUUUGAUAAGUCUGAAGUUAAAGGCUGUGGCUCAACCAUAGUUCGCUUUGGAAACUGUCAAACUUGAGUGCAGAAGGGGAGAGUGGAAUUCCAUGUGUAGCGGUGAAAUGCGUAGAUAUAUGGAGGAACACCGGUGGCGAAAGCGGCUCUCUGGUCUGUAACUGACGCUGAGGCUCGAAAGCGUGGGGAGCGAACAGG